UUACAGCUCCAUCAGGAACUU
This 21-nucleotide unclassified non-coding RNA is filed under the name synthetic construct. The record is from RNAcentral.